This is a long non-coding RNA of Astatotilapia calliptera (eastern happy), 491 nucleotides long. NCBI's taxonomy places the organism in Eukaryota, Metazoa, Chordata, Actinopteri, Cichliformes, Cichlidae. The record is from Ensembl.
CUGGAGUUAGGCAUAAAAGUGCGCAAGAGUUACAUUCCGGGAGUUUAUUUUUCACCUUAUACUACAGUCAGUGUUGGGGAGUACUCUAAAGCGGUGUAAUAUUUAGGUGUUCAUUCACUGGGUGCUAAGGAGUCUAAUUCAACACAUUGCUGGUGUUGUUUGUCUGUCGACCGUUACAGCGCCUAUCUGUGUUUCUUUCUUGGACUCCGACAUGUAGGAGGUGGCCAAGAUGUUGAUAAAAGUAAAACACAGAGAGACAAAGAAAUAUGCAAAAUUGGAAGAAGUCAGCUUCACAGAUUUUGUGAGAGCAGUGCAGCAGAAGUUUCUCAUACCAGAAAAUGCAGCACUGAAAGUCACGGAUGAGCAGGGUAUAGAGGUGGAUGAGGAUAUCUUUCCUGAACUUGCAGCAGUCAAAGAGGUGUGUUUUGUCAUCUAUACAGCUGAAGACAUCCUGGAAACACAAUCAUCCAAGAAGCUGCGUGACUGCUCAG